GGCUUCAAUUCUUCAUCUUUAACUCUUCAAGACUCCAUUCGACUUCACGAAACCUACAAACUUAGAAAAAUCCUUAACACACAGUGGCGGAGGCGGAGGGGACGAAGAGGGGUAAACCUGCAGCUGAGAGAGAAAGAGUAGAUGGCAAGGUAAAAUUUUGUUUACAGCUGUAAUUUUAUUAAUUCUUUUUAUAUGUAAAAAGAUAAUAAAGCCCCCAGAGCUUAUGUAAUAGAUAGUAAACAAGUGAGGGUAAAUUGUCUUUUUGAAGGGAUGGGUUGGUGAGUGGUGAAAAAAAAGGGAGGGAAGUUAUAGUGCGCUUGAUAAGGAUAUAUCGCGGCGACAAUUAUCGCCACUAAUACUCUAUUUUUUUACCGGCGACGCACUGUCGCCGCUAUAUUUUUCGUUUCAGUGGCGACUUUUAUAUGUCGCCACCAUUUUCUAUGCAUUG
This 448-nucleotide long non-coding RNA is filed under the name Ananas comosus (pineapple). Its description in RNAcentral is "long non-coding RNA (ACOM_LNC034514)". The record is from RNAcentral. Lineage: Eukaryota; Viridiplantae; Streptophyta; Magnoliopsida; Poales; Bromeliaceae.